UUUGUUACCAGAACUCUUUAUCAAUCCCAACAGGUAACGGAAUUCCGGUUCGGAUUGUCGGUCGGUUCUGAUUUAUAAACCAAUUGUCACCAGAUCCAAAGAAUAAAAACUGAGCGCGGAGGAGAACUCGGAGCAGCUCCUGUUCCGGGAACAACCCGAGGCUGAGCAGUCUCCUGUUUAGAGAAAUGGGACAGUAAGGUGAGGAGGUGACUCUAACCCUCAAUCUUUCCAGAGUGGGCAACGGACGAAUCGAAUCCAGAUGUUCUUGACCAGAGCGGAUUCCCGAAGGAAGAGGAAAGGCUCCAGCCAGGACAGCACGUGUCAACAAUUUUUCAAAUCGUUUUAACUCCGUUAUCAGUACGAAUCCGGACAUUGUUAGAGAAUCGGAAACCAAAUGAACACCAAGAACAAACGGACGAGAGAGAGAGAAAGCUGCACGAAAGGACGUUAGUGACUCAGGACACCAGUAUUUCUCACUAAGGAUCAUAUCACAAAAACUUGGAUAGAGGAACGAUGGAACUGAAACUGUCAGAGGAAUAUAGUUUCGAUACUUGGAGCUGACGGUGAUUCUCAAUGUUCAGAGUGGCAAAGCUUGUUUAUUAUCAGAUAUUACUGAUACGAUUUGUUAGCAAAUUGGGUAAACCAUUUAUCAAUGAUUUUAACCUUGCCCAAUAUCCAGGUCCAGAGUACAGUUUCAUUAAUUGCCUGUUAUGCAACAAUAAUAACACUUCUGGUACACCCUAAUCAUUACAAUUCAGAUUGCUUCUUCUAGCAUGGUUUAGCAGAACGAUUUUCAGCAACUGAUACAAUCUGGUAUAGAGAAGAGGUGGACAAAAGCAGAAGAUUGACAAAAAAAUAGUUCUAGAGUAUCAUGUCCUACUUUUGUGAUGAAUGCCCAGUGGUUCACAGACAAAUCUAAACAGAAGGUUUGAGACCAAACCUUAAAGAGGCUUUGGCCUCAGUAACAUGAGUUGAGCUGUGGGGAUGCAUUGCAUUUUCAGAGUGACCUUUUGUCUCAAUGGUAACAAUCCCAUAGUGGCAAAUCAGAUUCAUUGUAGGUUCAUGCCUCACAGAAUACUUCUAAUAACACUUUUUUGGUGGCAGUCACUGUUUGAAUGCUGAGUACAGCAGACUAACUGCCACAAAUACCCGUAUGUUAACACCUUAAUUGACAUAUGCAAGAGCUUAAAGUCUAUUUUAAACAAAUCUAAGGGUUUGCCUGAGAAAUGGCUUCACCCAACUUCAGAUCUGAUGGCUUCUAGGUUGUCCUUUUAACUGUGAGAUUUUUGUUUCCAAAAUUUAUUCCCAUUUCAUUUAUUUUGCAGGCAUAAAACAGCUACAGAUUUUUAAAUUCAUUCACGGGAUGUGGACAUCACUGGCUGAGUGAACAUUGAUUGACAAUACUAAUUGCCUUGUGGUGGUGAGCUGCCUCCUUGAACCAUUGUUGACCAUGUACAGUAGGUACAUGUCAUUGAGAAUGGAGACCCAGGAUUGUGUGAGAUUCACUUUCUAGGUCCUAAUCCUUUAGGGAGCAUAAAAUCAUAAGAAUUAGGAUCAAGAGUAGGCCUUUUGGUCCCUAGUGCCUGCUUUGCUAGUCAGUGCAAUCGUGGUUGAUCAAAUUGUGGCCUUAACUCCAUUUUCAUUGCUGCCCUGUCUGCCUCUUGACUCCCUGGUUCAACAAAAAUAUGUUUUACUCCUUCAUGGAUACAUUCAAAAGUUCAGGCAUCACCAAAGUCUACAAACUCUCAGACGAAAUGUCCCGAUAUUUGUUUGACCUACAACAAAUCUUGCAAGUAUUGCAUGCAUUUUCUUUCAAUUUGAUACAAUCCUUGACCUUUUAUAAUUAGCUAUGAAUAGUGCAUCCUUGUUAUCAUUUUUCUUUCUGAUUGGAAUAUAUCUUUUGAGGUAUGAAAUAUUCCCUUAAAUAUUUGCUACACUUUCUCAACUGUCCUACAUUUAAACUAUUUCACCAGUCCACUUUAACCAACUUUAUUAUCAUUCCUUGUUUUUAUUUAAACUUAAGACACUGGUCAUCGGUCUAUGUUUCUUACUCUGAGGCAGAAUGUGAAAUUCUAUUAUGUUAUGAUUAUUGUUGUCUGGAAGCUCCAUUUGUUAUGAAAACAUUAAUUAAUCCAGUCUCAUUUUACUUGACCAGGGUCAAAAUAGCCUGUUCCCUGAUUGACUGACUCUAAAACUUAUUGGUCUAAGAAAUUGACUAAACUUUAUGACCUCUUCUUCCUGAUUUUCUUUUGCCCAUUUUAUAUGAACAUUAAAAUCACCUAUGAUUAUUGUAGUACACUUUUAGCAAGCCCCUAAUUAUUUAUUCAUGUAUACUCUGCCCUUUAAUCCAACUAAUGUUCAGGGACCUAUAAAAUACUUCCACAAGUAACUCUUUUUUUGCUAUUUCUUAAUAUCCACAAACUAAUUCUCUAUCUUACUCUUCUGAUCAAGGUAAUCUCUUAUGACUAUAUUAAUCUCAUCCAUUAAAACAGAGGUACCUCACCAUCUUUUCCUUUCUUCCUGUCCUUCCAAAAUACUGUCAAAGUGUAUAAUAUUCCAAUCUAAGUCUUGAUUACAAUGAAACCAUUUCUCUGAAAUACCCUAUCAGAUUAUACUUAUUUCUUUCUGUUUGUGCUAUUAAUUUGUUACGAAUGCUGCGGAUCAGAACUUUUUAACUCUGUCCUUUUUAUUGUUUUUCUGACCUUACCUUCGGGUAUACUCUUAAGUUUGUACUUUGUUCCUCCUGCCUCACUUUGGUUAUUAUCACCCAUGCACAGCCAUAUUGCCUUGUCCUUCCUAAUUUCUCAAGUCUUUCUUCAUGUGAUCAAUGUCCUUAAGAAACAGCCAGGGAGGUUGGUGGAAUUGAUGUCAGAAUCACAUGAGGUGCUGGUGAAAACCAAAUCAGAAUUGUUUGUAUUGAACUUUAUAAGACUGUGACUGAUCCAACCCUCAAUUUUUGGACAGGUUGUCAGAUUGAAUUGGAAGCAGAAAAUGGUGGUAAUACAUAGGAAGAUUUAAAUAUUAGUUAUUUAUUCAUGUAAGAUGACUUCUUGUUUAUGAAUUAUAUCUCUGAGAACAGUCGUGUGGAUUAUGAAUGGGUGGUGAGGAAAGCCGGAAUCCUGGAGGUAAUGUAA
Long non-coding RNA from Rhincodon typus (whale shark), 3134 nucleotides. RefSeq lists it as uncharacterized. The transcript has 4 exons. The record is from RefSeq and is a predicted model, not a curated record. NCBI's taxonomy places the organism in Eukaryota, Metazoa, Chordata, Chondrichthyes, Orectolobiformes, Rhincodontidae.